RNAcentral lists this long non-coding RNA (746 nucleotides) under Sarcophilus harrisii (Tasmanian devil). RNAcentral's name for it is "lncRNA (ENSSHAG00000031947.1)". The record is from RNAcentral. Lineage: Eukaryota; Metazoa; Chordata; Mammalia; Dasyuromorphia; Dasyuridae.
AGCAAAAAUAAAACCACUGCUUUCCAACAUUUAUCUGUUUCUCUUGAAACCUAGUACUUCCUUGCUCCAAAAUCAGCUCCCUGUAUACUAGUGCAUAUUUUUAUUUAUUCUUUUUAUUUAUCUUUAUUCUUUUUUUUCCAGCUUUAUAUUAAUUGUUAUCUUUGUUCUAACAGGUCAGUGUUCUGAUUGUAUACAACCAUGUGAAUCAGAAACUACUUCCUGGAGCUCUCCUGAAGCUCCCACAAGAGUUGAAGGCACUUCCAGGAGCUAGGUAGGACUAUUAUACCUCAACUUGCUAUCUCAUCUGGGAACUUCCCUCAACAACUUGGGCCUUCUCUCUAUAGAAGAUCCAGUAACUCCUAUGACCAUCUCACCCUGGAACAUCCCUUUGGUGAAAUCUUCUCAGGCCUUCAUUUUGGAGAGAGACUUGGGUUGGACAGCCUUCAUUAUUCUUCUGGCUCUGCUUCUGAAUUUCUAGGUGCCAUGGCCCAGCUCAGAAUCACUGUCUGGCAUUCUCAGAGAUGACUCAAGCAGGAAGAUGAACCCAAUCAUAGACCUAGCUUGCUAGAAGACGUCUACCAUAAGAAGGAAAAGUACAAAGAAAAAGAAAAAAAGAAAAAGAAAAAUUUGUUCAGUAGCAUCCAAGAGACUUUAUGUUCUGGUAUGGCUUAAUUAUUUCCCUCCCAAGGUAAAGCAUAUUAGUAGUUAUAAUUUAAAUAACUGAAUCUUAUUUUAAGUCUUUUUGU